CAGUAGGGUCAGCUAAUUAAGCUAUCGGGCCCAUACCCCGAAAAUGCCACAUGGCCCCUACUAA
RNAcentral lists this transfer RNA (64 nucleotides) under Ptyas mucosa (Dhaman). RNAcentral describes it as "tRNA-Met". RNAcentral also lists the same sequence under 1 other name. Lineage: Eukaryota; Metazoa; Chordata; Lepidosauria; Squamata; Colubridae. The record is from RNAcentral.